Vicia faba (fava bean) is the source of this 249-nucleotide non-coding RNA. NCBI's taxonomy places the organism in Eukaryota, Viridiplantae, Streptophyta, Magnoliopsida, Fabales, Fabaceae. The record is from the annotation of a GenBank genome assembly.
AUGGCGUCAGGAUGGGGAAUCACCGGAAACAAAGGCCGAUGCUACGAUUUCUGGAUCGAUUUCAGCGAGUGUAUGUCUACUUGCAGAGAACCCAAAGACUGUACUCUCCUCCGUGAAGAUUACCUCGAAUGCCUCCACCAUUCCAAAGAGUUCCAACGAAGAAACAGGGUUUACAAGGAGGAGCAACGCAAAAUAAGAGCUGCUGCCAGGAAAGGUCAGGAGGAUGGGGUUGUGAGUGAACAUCAUUAG